RNAcentral lists this transfer RNA (84 nucleotides) under Acidimicrobiia bacterium. Its description in RNAcentral is "tRNA-Leu". It matches the Rfam family "tRNA". From Rfam's summary of the family: Transfer RNA (tRNA) molecules are approximately 80 nucleotides in length. Their secondary structure includes four short double-helical elements and three loops (D, anti-codon, and T loops). The record is from RNAcentral. Lineage: Bacteria; Bacillati; Actinomycetota; Acidimicrobiia.
GCCCGGGUGGCGGAAUUGGCAGACGCGCGGGACUUAAAAUCCUGUGUCCUUUCGGACGUGUGGGUUCAAAUCCCACCCCGGGCA